RNAcentral lists this ribosomal RNA (492 nucleotides) under uncultured bacterium. RNAcentral describes it as "partial 16S ribosomal RNA". It matches the Rfam family "Bacterial small subunit ribosomal RNA", at positions 29 to 507 of the family's 1533-position model. The record is from RNAcentral.
AGUGAACGCUGGCGGUAGGCCUAACACAUGCAAGUCGAACGGCAGCACAGUAAGAGCUUGCUCUUACGGGUGGCGAGUGGCGGACGGGUGAGGAAUACAUCGGAAUCUACUUUUUCGUGGGGGAUAACGUAGGGAAACUUACGCUAAUACCGCAUACGACCUACGGGUGAAAGCAGGGGAUCUUCGGACCUUGCGCGAUUGAAUGAGCCGAUGUCGGAUUAGCUAGUUGGCGGGGUAAAGGCCCACCAAGGCGACGAUCCGUAGCUGGUCUGAGAGGAUGAUCAGCGACAGUGGAACUGAGACACGGUCCAGACUCCUACGGGAGGCAGCAGUGGGGAAUAUUGGACAAUGGGCGCAAGCCUGAUCCAGCCAUACCGCGUGGGUGAAGAAGGCCUUCGGGUUGUAAAGCCCUUUUGUUGGGAAAGAAAAGCAGCAGGUUAAUACCCCGCUGUUCUGACGGUACCCAAAGAAUAAGCACCGGCUAACUUCGUG